AUUUUUAUCAACAAAUUUCGGCCAAAAUAAAUCCGUCAAAUUCUUUUUUUUUUUUAUUAAUUAGUCGAGCAGAUGGGCGGGUCUAUUUUAGUUCAAAGAUAAAA
This 104-nucleotide small RNA is filed under the name Arabidopsis thaliana (thale cress). RNAcentral describes it as "ATSL170870". Lineage: Eukaryota; Viridiplantae; Streptophyta; Magnoliopsida; Brassicales; Brassicaceae. The record is from RNAcentral.